This 428-nucleotide ribosomal RNA is filed under the name uncultured prokaryote. RNAcentral's name for it is "bacterial SSU rRNA". It matches the Rfam family "Bacterial small subunit ribosomal RNA", at positions 355 to 776 of the family's 1533-position model. The record is from RNAcentral. RNAcentral also lists the same sequence under 1 other name.
UAGGGAAUUUUCGGCAAUGGGCGAAAGCCUGACCGAGCAACGCCGCGUGAGUGAAGACGGCCUUCGGGUUGUAAAGCUCUGUUGAUAGGGAAGAAUGUUACGUAUAGGGAAUGAUAUGUAAGUGACGGUACCUAUCCAGAAAGCCACGGCUAACUACGUGCCAGCAGCCGCGGUAAUACGUAGGUGGCAAGCGUUAUCCGGAUUUAUUGGGCGUAAAGGGUGCGUAGGCGGCAGUUUAAGUUUAAGGUGAAAGCGUUGGGCUCAACCCAAUACAGCCUUAAAAACUGGACAGCUAGAGUGCAGGAGAGGUUAGCGGAAUUCCAUGUGUAGCGGUAAAAUGCGUAGAUAUAUGGAGGAACACCAGUGGCGAAGGCGGCUAACUGGCCUGUAACUGACGCUGAGGCACGAAAGCGUGGGGAGCAAAUAGG